This is a non-coding RNA of Pelobates cultripes (western spadefoot toad), 364 nucleotides long. NCBI's taxonomy places the organism in Eukaryota, Metazoa, Chordata, Amphibia, Anura, Pelobatidae. The record is from the annotation of a GenBank genome assembly.
CAGAAGCCAAAUACCACUGAGCGACCUGGAGCUGGAGGAAGCCUUUGGGGUUAAACCAUUUGAGAGCGAUUUAACCCCUUAAAGGAAAGCGAGCACCCAGGGGCUUCCUGGCAUCAUAGCAUUUUCAUUUAGGUGAAGUUGUUAUGGUGACCAGAAAUGUCCUUUAAUUUGCUUAAGGGAACACUAUAGUGUCAGGAAUACAAACAUAUAUUCCUGACACCAUAGUUGUGAAAACGCUAUUCACCCUGGCUUUAUGUGAUAAUGGCUAUGCCCCUUCCCUUUCACGACACUGUCAAAAAGGUACCAAGCAUGGAUGUCAUUACAAUUAUGCCCCCCCCUGGAAAAAUUCCUGCGGACGCCCAUG